Molecule: ribosomal RNA, 497 nt
Filed under: uncultured bacterium
Lineage: Bacteria
Description: partial 16S ribosomal RNA
Rfam family: Bacterial small subunit ribosomal RNA
Source: RNAcentral
GACGAACGCUGGCGGCGUGCCUAAUACAUGCAAGUUGAGCGCUGAAGGUUGGUACUUGUACCAACUGGAUGAGCAGCGAACGGGUGAGUAACGCGUGGGGAAUCUGCCUUUGAGCGGGGGACAACAUUUGGAAACGAAUGCUAAUACCGCAUAAAAACUUUAAACACAAGUUUUAAGUUUGAAAGAUGCAAUUGCAUCACUCAAAGAUGAUCCCGCGUUGUAUUAGCUAGUCGGUGAGGUAAAGGCUCACCAAGGCGAUGAUACAUAGCCGACCUGAGAGGGUGAUCGGCCACAUUGGGACUGAGACACGGCCCGAACUCCUACGGGAGGCAGCAGUAGGGAAUCUUCGGCAAUGGACGAAAGUCUGACCGAGCAACGCCGCGUGAGUGAAGAAGGUUUUCGGAUCGUAAAACUCUGUUGGUAGAGAAGAACGUUGGUGAGAGUGGAAAGCUCAUCAAGUGACGGUAACUACCCAGAAAGGGACGGCUAACUACGUG